CAGUCGCCGCGGUAAUACGUAGGUGGCAAGCGUUGUCCGGAUUUAUUGGGCGUAAAGCGAGCGCAGGCGGUCAAUUAAGUCUGAUGUGAAAGCCCCCGGCUCAACCGGGGAGGGUCAUUGGAAACUGGGAAACUUGAGUGCAGAAGAGGAGAGUGGAAUUCCACGUGUAGCGGUGAAAUGCGUAGAGAUGUGGAGGAACACCAGUGGCGAAGGCGACUCUCGGGUCUGUAACUGACGCUGAGGAGCGAAAGCGUGGGGAGCGAACAGGAUUAGAUACCCCCGUAGUCCCUGUCUCUUAUAC
This 301-nucleotide ribosomal RNA is filed under the name uncultured bacterium. RNAcentral describes it as "partial 16S ribosomal RNA". It matches the Rfam family "Bacterial small subunit ribosomal RNA", at positions 509 to 807 of the family's 1533-position model. The record is from RNAcentral.